UUGGAGGGCAAGUCUGGUGCCAGCAGCCGCGGUAAUUCCAGCUCCAAUAGCGUAUAUUAAAGUUGUUGCAGUUAAAAAGCUCGUAGUUGAAUUUCGGGAUCAGAGUGUCAGUCGUGCCUCGGUACGUACUGGUAUUAUUGGUUCCUACCUUCUGAAGAACCGCGAUGUCAUUAAUUUGGUGUCGUGGGGAAUCAGGACUGUUACUUUGAAAAAAUUAGAGUGUUUAAAGCAGGCUUACGCUUGAAUACAUUAGCAUGGAAUAAUGAAAUAGGACGUUUGAUUCUAUUUUGUUGGUUUCUAGGAUUGACGUAAUGAUUAAUAGGGAUAGUUGGGGGCAUUAGUAUUCAAUUGUCAGAGGUGAAAUUCUUGGAUUUAUUGAAGACUAACUACUGCGAAAGCAUUUGCCAAGGAUGUUUUCAUUAAUCAAGAACGAGAGUUAGGGGAUCGAAGACGAUCAGAUACCGUCGUAGUCUUAACCAUAAACUAUGCCGACUAGGGAUCGGAUGAUGUUAAUUUUUUAAUGACUCAUUCGGCGCCUUACGGGAAAC
RNAcentral lists this ribosomal RNA (548 nucleotides) under uncultured Glomeromycotina. RNAcentral's name for it is "SSU rRNA". It matches the Rfam family "Eukaryotic small subunit ribosomal RNA", at positions 548 to 1098 of the family's 1831-position model. The record is from RNAcentral. Lineage: Eukaryota; Fungi; Glomeromycota.